Conger conger (European conger) is the source of this 577-nucleotide long non-coding RNA. RefSeq lists it as uncharacterized. The transcript is spliced from 3 exons. NCBI's taxonomy places the organism in Eukaryota, Metazoa, Chordata, Actinopteri, Anguilliformes, Congridae. The record is from RefSeq and is a predicted model, not a curated record.
UUUACACUGGGGGAUACCUUCACCUUCAGCAGUCCCGGUCGCUCCAAGGCGGAGGCCACAGCUGCGUUUUUGUUGGGGAAGCCUGCCGAGCCCACUUACUCCUUUGGAGCCUCCGCCCCUGGUUCAGCUGCAGCCUCCUCGGCCUCUCGUGCAGGUGGAGCCUUCCUGUUUUCGGGGGCCCCUGUCGCAGCCACGUCCACCCCUGCAGGCCCCUCCCUGUUUUUGGAUCCCAGUAGGGGCUUCUCUUUCAGUCGGCCUGCCGGAGCAUCCAGCCCAGAGGACAAAUCAUAAAACAACACAGGCCUCUGCAGUCGGUCUGUGCAAAUAUGUGUGGAGAGUGCCUGAAUCUUUUACACAACGAGUGGUCACUGCGUGGAACAGCUUGCCAGUGUGUGUAGUGGAGGCACAAACUCUGGGGGGGGUUUCAAGACCGGGCUUGAUACGGUGUCAGAUUCUAUUCAGCUUUUAGGCUAACUAAAGCACUAGGUACACUACACUCGCCUUAUGUUACGUUGCGUUACGUUACGUUACCAUACGUUACGUUACGUUACGUUACGGUACGUUACGUUACGUUAUC